RNAcentral lists this ribosomal RNA (569 nucleotides) under Leucosporidium creatinivorum. Its description in RNAcentral is "partial large subunit ribosomal RNA". It matches the Rfam family "Eukaryotic large subunit ribosomal RNA", at positions 98 to 664 of the family's 3401-position model. The record is from RNAcentral. Lineage: Eukaryota; Fungi; Basidiomycota; Microbotryomycetes; Leucosporidiales; Leucosporidiaceae.
GCGGGAAGAGCUCAAAUUUGUAAUCUGGCACUUUCAGUGUCCGAGUUGUAAUCUCGAGAAGUAUUUUCCGCGCCGGACCGCAUACAAGUCUGUUGGAAUACAGCGUCAUAGUGGUGAGAACCCCGUAACUGAUGCGGAUGCCCGGUGCUUUGUGAUAUACUUUCGAAGAGUCGAGUUGUUUGGGAAUGCAGCUCAAAUUGGGUGGUAAAUUCCAUCUAAAGCUAAAUAUUGGAGCAAGACCGAUAGCGAACAAGUACCGUGAGGGAAAGAUGAAAAGCACUUUGGAAAGAGAGUUAACAGUACGUGAAAUUGUUGGAAGGGAAACGCUUGAAGUCAGACUUGCUAUUCGGAGUUCAGCCGCAAGGUGUAUUCUUCGAUUUGCAGGCCAGCAUCAGUUUUUGGGGGUGGAAAAUCGUGGUUUGAAGGUAGCAGUUUCGGCUGUGUUAUAGCUUUCCACUGGAUUCAUCUUCGGGGACUGAGGAACGCAGUACGCUUUUUGCAAGGCUUUCGAGCUUUUCGUACUUAGGAUGCUGGUGGAAUGGCUUUAAACGACCCGUCUUGAAACACGG